UUUGCCUACGGGGCGCAGCAGUCGGGAAUAUUGCGCAAUGGAGGAAACUCUGACGCAGUGACGCCGCGUAUAGGAAGAAGGUUUUCGGAUUGUAAACUAUUGUCGUUAGGGAAGAUAAAAGACUGUACCUAAGGAGGAAGCCCCGGCUAACUAUGUGCCAGCAGCCGCGGUAAUACAUAGGGGGCAAGCGUUAUCCGGAUUUAUUGGGUGUAAAGGGUGCGUAGACGGGAAAUUAAGUUAGUUGUGAAAUCCCUCGGCUCAACUGAGGAACUGCAACUAAAACUGAUUUUCUUGAGUGCAGGAGA
RNAcentral lists this ribosomal RNA (305 nucleotides) under uncultured bacterium. RNAcentral describes it as "bacterial SSU rRNA". It matches the Rfam family "Bacterial small subunit ribosomal RNA", at positions 334 to 655 of the family's 1533-position model. The record is from RNAcentral.